GCAACAAUUUUCCUUUAUGUUUUUGGUAAUAUUGCAAAUUAAAAAUAACAAAGAUUCGUUGCUUUGUUGUUCAUGCUCUUUUAUUUUAUUUAAAACCAAUAAACAAUUGAGUUAUUUUUCUAUAUAUUAGAAGAGAAAGAUUUUCGACAUGUCUGUUUAAUGUCUUUUUAAAAAAGCUUGAGGAUAAUUAGUCAUUUAGAAAAUUUCUAUACGUGCCUUUUUCCCCUUCCACAAAUACUACGUGUAGCCUUUUGGUUUCUGUCUCAGCCACCACAUCUUUUUUCCAUCUUCAGUCCCAAUAUCUUCUCCAUCGUAUUAUCGUAUUUUCCAUGGAUUUCAGAGCAUUGUUAUUUGCUCCAUCAAGAUAAUCUCUUCUGUUUCUUUUCCUUCAAUUGUUGUUGGGUUUGGAUUGUUUCCUCCAGGAUCCAGCUAAAUUAAUUUAAUUUAGCAGUUUAAACUCGAUUUAUUUUUGCAAUUUGUAUAAUCCAGGCCCUUAAAAUUUCUCUAUUCCAAUUUUGCUCUGCAAUUUUUGUUGCAAUGUUUGGGGUAUUUCAAAUUUGCAUGUGCUUGUUAAUCGAUCUCUGUCCUUCAGAUUUUGACUGUAAACUUCAUGUAUGCCGGGAGAUGAAGAUGAGAAGUAAUACUUGGAACAAAAAAAAAAGGUAAAAAUUGCUACUCCUUAUAGAUAGCUAUUUUGCAUAUGAAUUAUUUCCAGUAAUAUUUGAUUGAAUAGUUUAGUUACAUGAAAAUUUUAGUUUUAUCGUGCUGCUUCUUGAAUUUAUUGUUAAAAGAGAAAAAACAGAAGUUUGCCAGCACAACUGAAGUCUGAGUAGUAUUUGCAGUUUGUUAAAGUAUCUGUUAUUUUUAUUUUACUAUCUUAAAAAUAUACGCGCUCUAGGGACACCAAUAACUAUAUAGAUUCAAAAUUGAUGCAAAAAGGGGAAGUUCUCUACCUAAGUAUAUCAAGUGUAAUUAUAUUUUAGGGUUAUGACUUUUAUCCCAAUUGAAUGUACCUAUUGUAUCCUAAUGUGUAUCUGUUUACCUUAUUGUUCAACCUACCUGGGCUAAUAUUUGUUGAAUUUACAACGGAAAUAUAGUAAGUGACAAUUUUGUUAAUGUCUGAAAGUGAAGUUUUUGUAGCGACAAUGCUUGGUGAACAUGUUGAUGAGAUUUGAAUUGUUGGGAGUAUCUUCCAUAACUAUGUACCAGCAUAAAUUUCAACAGUUUCUACCCUUCACCAGCCCUACAAUAUUGAUAAAUGAUCAUUGAAGGAACAAAGAAAAUGAUUCAAAAAGAUCUUUAUGUCUUAGGAAGGACAUUGUUCUGUACUUCGUUAGUCUAUUGUCAUAUGCUUAUUCAUAACGCUAAAUAGUUAUGCUUUAUAAUUCGUGUUAUUGUGUUAAUAUGUCUCUACUUUAGUAAUAAAUUUAUAUGCUUACAAAUAAAAGAAAGAUGGACAACGCCUAAAUUGAGCAGAUUAGGAACGUUCAUAUCUUGGUGAAAAGAAUAGUGAGAAAUACCAAAGACAGCGUAUAUCACAUGGAGAGAAAUGGUACAUAAUUCAUUUUCCAUAAGACUCUUAAACGUCGUGAGAUUUGACGCUGCAGAAUAAUAUUCAUUAACUUCUAGCACAAGCAAAUAUUUUUAUCUCAGCUAUCAUGGUUCCUUACUUCGACAGGGUACAAAUAUUUAAAUUUGAUAUUUUUAGAUACUUUCUACUGGUGCAACACCAAGUGCAGUUCCUGUACAGAAGACUUCAUUUGCACUAAUUACAUGUAAGACUAUAAAGCAAGUCAAAUAAAUUCAAACACAAAUUAUAACUCAAUGUAUUUUCUAUACCCAAUAAUUAUCCAUCAUAUUUUGUUAAAAUAUAUGGAAUUAAGACAAUAGUUUAGGUGAAUAGACGGUAAAGUAUGCUACAAUCAAGAAUUUAAAGAGAAUUUUCAAAAAAUAUUUCUUUUAAUAAUUGUGAUGUGCGGAUGUGUUACUUUCUACUUUUUUCAUUCUGAUAAUUUGUAUUACAGCAUAAAGAAAUUAGACAAUUUAUGUACUUGAUGGGAUUGGAAAACUCAAUAGAAGUAGCUUCUUACUUUCUUUCAUGUGCACUUCUAUUCUAUUUUUUAUAUAUAUAGUUUCAAGAUCGUGCUUAUGCAAAGCCAUGAAAACUAUACAUUAAACAUUCAAUUUUUUAUUUGAACAUUACAUAUAUGAAUAGGGAUUAAGGCGUGUUUUAUACCAGCAUCACUAUUCGCUAUUACAAGUAAUUCAUUUAUCAAUAUUGAAUUUCAAUUGCAACAUUUCUGACAAAGGUACAAAAUGGUAUCAGAUGAUCAAACUAAGAUUGCAACAUCAAAAUAAAAAAAAAUAAAAAAGGUAAGGAAUUAUCAAUCCAUUGAUAUUUUAUUUCCUAAAAUAGACAAAUUAAAGAAUAGAAUAAGUAGGAUUAUAUUUUGGAAAAUAAUUGUGAGCCAACCGUGCCUUUUGCUCUUGCACAGGUAAAAAACAUUGCAUAAAAUUUCAGCAUUUCUUAUAGACUUGGCAUCCUGCUCCUACUUAAGUACGUCUGGUAGUGCAACAGACUUGAAUUACAUGCAAGCAUGGGCCUGUAUGUGUUCAUCCUUUCAUUUCAAUUGGCGAUUAUAUGAUCAAAUUUAUUAUUUUGCCUUUUGUUUUAUUUUGCUAAGUUAUCUCCUAUAUGAAGAUCGUUUUCCUUCUAAACUUUGCAGGAAUCCAGUGGCCUUAGUGUAUUGGUCGAAAUCUGACCGUCUCGGCUGAGCUGACCAAUGUCCCGCCCAAGUGACAGGGCAGUAAAAGACGACAUGGCCCACUUUACACCUCAUUCUCGACACCCGUCGAGUCAGAAGGAGCAAUGUCCAAAGGACGACCAAGGCACACUUGGUGCGAGAGAGCGUUGGACCAAGUAAACGGCAAGGGUGCCUAGACUAUAUAUAGUAGGGAAAAACCCUCGAUAGGAGAGGCUCUCUUUCCCAUUCUCUCCCCUAAGUUCUCUUCUUGUAAUCUUCAUAGGAAAGAAGUAAUCUACAGAAAAAACAUGUAAAACUACCUCUUCCAUUGAUUGAUGGGAGCCACAAUGAAAAAUUUCAAUAAGAUCGAUUACAUCUACUUCAUCUUAUAUACUAUCUAUUCUGUUAGCUCAUUGAUCUGGAAUUUAUUAUGUCUGACUAAGAUUUACCUCCUU
RNAcentral lists this long non-coding RNA (3199 nucleotides) under Nicotiana tabacum (common tobacco). Its description in RNAcentral is "long non-coding RNA (NTAB_LNC003044)". Lineage: Eukaryota; Viridiplantae; Streptophyta; Magnoliopsida; Solanales; Solanaceae. The record is from RNAcentral.